This 253-nucleotide ribosomal RNA is filed under the name uncultured bacterium. RNAcentral describes it as "partial 16S ribosomal RNA". It matches the Rfam family "Bacterial small subunit ribosomal RNA", at positions 524 to 776 of the family's 1533-position model. The record is from RNAcentral.
UACGAAGGGGGCUAGCGUUGUUCGGAAUCACUGGGCGUAAAGCGCACGUAGGCGGAUGUGUCAGUCAGGGGUGAAAUCCCGGGGCUCAACCUCGGAACUGCCUCUGAUACAGCACAUCUUGAGUCCGGAAGAGGUGGGUGGAAUUCCUAGUGUAGAGGUGAAAUUCGUAGAUAUUCGGAAGAACACCAGUGGCGAAGGCGACUUACUGGACACAUAUUGACGCUGAGGUGCGAAAGCGUGGGGAGCAAACAGG